CUACGGGGGGCUCCAGUGGGGGAUAUUGCACAAUGGGCGAAAGCCUGAUGCAGCAACGCCGCGUGGAGGAUGACGCAUUUCGGUGUGUAAACUCCUUUUAUAUGUCAAGAAAAUGACGGUAGCAUAUGAAUAAGCACCGGCUAACUCCGUGCCAGCAGCCGCGGUAAUACGGAGGGUGCAAGCGUUACUCGGAAUCACUGGGCGUAAAGGACGCGUAGGCGGGUUGGAAAGUCAGGUGUGAAAUCCUACAGCUUAACUGUAGAACUGCACUUGAAACUUCUAAUCUAGAGUAUGGGAGGGGGAGAUGGAAUUAGUGGUGUAGGGGUAAAAUCCGUAGAUAUCACUAGGAAUACCUAAAGCGAAGGCGAUCUCCUGGAACAUUACUGACGCUAAGGCGUGAAAGCGUGGGGAGCAAACAGGAUUAGAUACCCCAGUAGUC
RNAcentral lists this ribosomal RNA (439 nucleotides) under uncultured bacterium. Its description in RNAcentral is "partial 16S ribosomal RNA". It matches the Rfam family "Bacterial small subunit ribosomal RNA", at positions 339 to 795 of the family's 1533-position model. The record is from RNAcentral.